Molecule: long non-coding RNA, 434 nt
Organism: Medicago truncatula (barrel medic)
Lineage: Eukaryota; Viridiplantae; Streptophyta; Magnoliopsida; Fabales; Fabaceae
Exons: 2
Source: RefSeq, a predicted model, not a curated record
UAAACGAUUUUUACAUAGAAUGUGUUGUAUACACUAUAAAAUGAUCAAAUCAUGUUUUAUUUGUUACAUGUAAAGAGAGAAAAGGAUGACUAAAACUUACAAGUUUGUAUAUGCCAUGAUUUUAUUUCUUUACAUAUUUCAAAUUGCAAGAAACGUUGAUGCAAAUUUUGAAUGUAAAUCUACUAAUGAUUGUCCAAAAAGUGUUUUACGCGUUUGGAGGUGCAUUAACAAUUAUUGCCGACCUGUUAGAAUGAAGAAAAUACACAACACCAUGUAGGGGAGAAUGAGUUCUUACACUAGGGAAAAAAAAACUUUACAAUAUACCUUAUGCUAGAAUAUUUUAUAGUUGCCAAAUAUUUAUUAUGAUGGCACCAAAUUAUUGUAUUUUCUAAUUCAUUUUCUUUACAUAAUUUCGCAUAACUUGCAUUUAUGGA